This 439-nucleotide ribosomal RNA is filed under the name uncultured bacterium. RNAcentral describes it as "partial 16S ribosomal RNA". It matches the Rfam family "Bacterial small subunit ribosomal RNA", at positions 339 to 795 of the family's 1533-position model. The record is from RNAcentral.
CUACGGGUUGCUGCAGUGGGGAAUAUUGCACAAUGGGGGGAACCCUGAUGCAGCAACGCCGCGUGGAGGAUGACACAUUUCGGUGCGUAAACUCCUUUUAUAUAAGAAGAUAAUGACGGUAUUAUAUGAAUAAGCACCGGCUAACUCCGUGCCAGCAGCCGCGGUAAUACGGGGGGUGCAAGCGUUACUCGGAAUCACUGGGCGUAAAGAGCAUGUAGGCUGGUUAGUAAGUUGGAAGUGAAAUCCUAUGGCUUAACCAUAGAACUGCUUCCAAAACUACUAACCUAGAAUAUGGGAGAGGUAGAUGGAAUUUCUGGUGUAGGGGUAAAAUCCGUAGAGAUCAGAAGGAAUACCGAUUGCGAAGGCGAUCUACUGGAACAUUAUUGACGCUCAGAUGCGAAAGCGUGGGGAGCAAACAGGAUUAGAUACCCCUGUAGUC